UACAGAGGGUGCAAGCGUUAAUCGGAAUUACUGGGCGUAAAGCGUGCGUAGGUGGUUUUUUAAGUCAGGUGUGAAAUCCCCGGGCUCAACCUGGGAACUGCAUUUGAUACUGAAAAGCUAGAGUGUGGUAGAGGAUAGUGGAAUUCCCGGUGUAGCGGUGAAGUGCGUAGAUAUCGGGAGGAACACCCGUGGCGAAGGCGGCUCUCUGGGACGGUACUGACGCUGAGACGCGAAAGCGUGGGGAGCAAACAGG
RNAcentral lists this ribosomal RNA (253 nucleotides) under uncultured bacterium. RNAcentral describes it as "partial 16S ribosomal RNA". It matches the Rfam family "Bacterial small subunit ribosomal RNA", at positions 524 to 776 of the family's 1533-position model. The record is from RNAcentral.